Schistosoma rodhaini is the source of this 87-nucleotide non-coding RNA. NCBI's taxonomy places the organism in Eukaryota, Metazoa, Platyhelminthes, Trematoda, Strigeidida, Schistosomatidae. The record is from Rfam.
GCCGGCGACCAUGCCACUUUUAAAGCACCGGUUCUCGUCCGAUCACCGCAGUUAAGUAACGUUGGGCCCGGUCAGUACUUGCAUGCU